CGCCCUUAAAUUCCCCCUUCUCUCAGUUCUCUCUUAAGAUCCUAGCUGCAUCCCUCUGCUUCUACCCUAGAAUCACAUAUCCAUGGCUUUCAAGGCCAUUGAAGUCCUAUAUCGACCUCAUAUAACUCAUAUAUGCCUGGUUACUAUAGUUUCAAGGUCUUACCUUGAAGAAGCUUGCCCCAGACUUUGUUUGAUUCGAGUUCUAUGGCCGUCUCCGACCUUGCUCCGGCCACCAUGGCUAUUCGAGCCUGAUCUCAACUUCUCCUGCUUAGAUCAAUGACUUUCCAAGCCUUUCUCACGAUUGAGGUUCUUCUGAAAUCCUAACUUUUAAGGUUCUUCUGAUUUCUUUAGAUCUGUUCUAGAUCUAUAUUUUUCCUAAAUUUUCAAACAUUUUCUCAAAGUUUCUUUCAAAACUGUGCGUUCAAAACCUUUAUAUUUCCUGAUUUAGGGUUUUUGCAAGUUAUUUAGAAGUUUCUCUGUUCUUUAGCAUGUUCUACUGUGUUUCUUAUGUUGUUCUUCUACUAUGUUUCUUAUGUUGAUUCUUCUACUGCUUUUCUUUAUGUUAAAGUCUUAAUUUCUUUCUUAGGGUUUUUGAUUUUAUUUUCUUUGUUGAUAUUUUUGCUUGAUUCUCUUGUCUUUUAUCUCUACACUCGAUUAAUUGGCAAAAAUUCUAAGACUUGGGGUUCAUUCAAGUUCUGAUAUUAUUUGAUAUGUGAUUUGUUUGUUCCUCAUCUCUGAACUUAUUUGGUUCCAAAACCCUAAUUUCUUUGGACCUAUUUGAAUUUCUGAAGUUGUUUCAUCUGUUGCUCGACCGAAUUUCAACAUCUUUUGUUUCUUUAUAUGAUUCUGAAUCCCUGCUAAAAUUUUCUAGGGUCUUUCUACUGGACCAUUUGCAUGCUAUUUGAUACUCUCUCCCUUCUCCAUUGCUGAAUUACUGAAAUUGACCUAUGUGACUAUCAUGUUCCUAUAGUCCACUACUUACUGAUUUUGCAAUUGCAUGACACUUUUCUUUGUCUUAAAUUCAGCUUCGCUUGCCUAAUACUUAUGUGCUUUUUAUAUAUGUUGAGCUUCCCCUCUAAAUUGACAUUCAAUUUUUUGAUUAAUUUUAUAGCUCCUUGUGUAAGUCUGAUUGAUUCUUUCCUUAUUUUACUAAUUUCCAUGUUUCUUGGUUGAUUUGAAAACUUUCCUUAGCCUUUAUGACUUGGUUUAUUCAUGAACCAGUAAUUUUGUUUCUCUCUCUCUCUCCUUGAUUUACUAUGUACCGAUUGAUUCUUACCUAAUUUGUUUAACCGUGUAUUUCAAAGAUCAUUCCCUUAAUUAAACUCUUAUGUAUUUACCCCUAAUUGUCUACUUUGCACAAGAUGCUUACUUGAUCUCUUUCCUUAAAUUAUUUAUGUUCAUUACUGUUUAAGUUUGAACUCCUUAAUUAAAGGAAGUUCUUUCUACUGAUUGAUUUUAAUUGGCACAUGGUUAUUUUCUUGCCUUAUUCUCUGCCUGUUUUCAAACUAUAAAUAACAUGCUCUUUCAUUGACACAAACAUACACGAACACUCUUAGUUUUCUGAAAUCACACUCACAUUUAAAAAGCACUCUCUUUUGUUACUUGUAUUAUGGCAUGUUUUCUUUCAAGUACUGCUACUAUUGUAUUUUGCUUCUUUGAAACUGGUAUGUCCUGAUUAAGGUUUUCAGCAACCAGAACAAUGCCUUCACUUGCAUGUCUGCCUAUUGCUUAUGUUUAGUUAAGAAUUUACUUUAGCAUGUUGUUAUUUCCUUCCUAUUAUGAAUCUCAAACCCCUUACCCUGAUGUGUUUGAUGCUAAUGGUUUUUUUGAGGCAUGACAAUAUAAAGUAUUACUGUCUAUGGCCCAAACUUGAUUCCCCUGGAAUCAUAACCUCCAUGUCACUAUCAUAUGUCAUGUAUGCUUGUUGAUUUGUAAGCAUAACAACACUCUCUAUUGUUGUGAAUGCCACGAAUUAGCUAAAUCUAACCCCUUUGUGUACCUGUUUUUAGCUGUUUCCCUCUCUUUUAUUCCCCAGAACUCUGUUCUUCACUUGCUCACUCUCUUAGACUUUAAGUCCUGCCUCCCCUCUCCCACCCUCUUGUGAGCCUUGACUUGGGACCCUUUGAGCUCCCUCUGAACUUGGACACUUGAGGGCUGACCCUUCCACACUACACUUAUCCCCAUUCUGAUAAUACAAUUUGGGUGUGAGCAUUGCCCGGAGUCCCAUGAGGCACUUAGGGAACUUUUGAUACAGUCAGAUUGGAGAAAGGCUUUGGAUCAAUGAUCUUGUAGUUGGUUUACCUCAUAACUCAGUGAGGAAGUCAGAAUCAGGCUUCCUCUAGUUGUACUUUUAUUUGUAUUUUUGAUGUAAUUUUAUUUAUUCUAGUUUGUAAUAAGUUGUAUCAUUUGGGGCUUGAUAGUAAAAAGGGUGGGUAACUAUGUAUGCAAAUGGUAGAAAUCAUGAUUAUAGGACUACUAUAUUCCUGCAUAUUCAACCUCAUAUAGAAACCAUGUCUAUAUGGUCUGCAUAUUUAAUUACAUCUAGAAAUCAUGACAAUAGGACUACUAUAUUCCGGUAUAUUCAACUUCAUAUAGAAAUCAUGUAUAUAGGAUUUUGCAUAUUCAAACUUCACCUAGAGACCAUGCCUAUAGAAAACAUUUAAUUUUGCAUAAGGUUUAAAACAAAUUCUACAUCUAGAUACUAUGUUUAUAAGGUUUUAAAAUCAGCAAUGUAUAGAAAGCAUGUCUAUAGGGGUUUCUAAUAAAAAUCUCAUUCGUUUCACUUAGUGUUAGACAUAAAACCAGUAAUAAUGGCUACUAUCAACCGCAAGCCUUUUAAUCAAUUCGUUUAAAUCCUGCCUCUCUUUUAAUAAUCUGAUUCUAUCACUUAGCAAGUUUAACAAGUAUGCAUUCAAACAAUUUAUUUCAAGCCUUGCUAUUUCAUUGAUUUUUGAAUCCAGUAGAUACCAUGCUUAUAAGAUUCUUGUCUAACACUUUGGUAAGCCUUAGUGUAAUAAAUAUAAAUUGCAUCUGCUUUUGUUAAUAAUUACAACCAGC
Molecule: long non-coding RNA, 3057 nt
Filed under: Nicotiana benthamiana
Lineage: Eukaryota; Viridiplantae; Streptophyta; Magnoliopsida; Solanales; Solanaceae
Description: long non-coding RNA (NBEN_LNC016835)
Source: RNAcentral